This 72-nucleotide transfer RNA is filed under the name Bos taurus (domestic cattle). It matches the Rfam family "tRNA". From Rfam's summary of the family: Transfer RNA (tRNA) molecules are approximately 80 nucleotides in length. Lineage: Eukaryota; Metazoa; Chordata; Mammalia; Artiodactyla; Bovidae. The record is from Rfam by way of RNAcentral. RNAcentral also lists the same sequence under 1 other name.
UUCCUGGUGGCUCAGACUGUACAGAAUCUGCUUUCAAUGCAGGAGACCUGGGUUUGAUCCUUGGUCAGGAAA